This 155-nucleotide long non-coding RNA is filed under the name Mustela putorius furo (domestic ferret). RNAcentral describes it as "lncRNA (ENSMPUG00000029269.1)". Lineage: Eukaryota; Metazoa; Chordata; Mammalia; Carnivora; Mustelidae. The record is from RNAcentral.
GAAAGAUUACCAAAGAGGGAGGAAUGAUCAACUGGUCAAGUGCUACAGAUCCAGUCUGUGUUCUGUAACAUUUGGUUCCCUGACUGGGAAACCCAACUGCGCCGACCCAUUGUUGCCACCACUUUGGGAGCAAGGGCGGCAUGGUGACUGAAAAG